This 67-nucleotide transfer RNA is filed under the name Propeamussium sp. mt1. RNAcentral's name for it is "tRNA-Ser". The record is from RNAcentral. Lineage: Eukaryota; Metazoa; Mollusca; Bivalvia; Pectinida; Propeamussiidae.
GGCAGGAAAAGUUUUGGUUGUGAUUUCUAAUCUUAAGUCAGGGAGGUUUACGACCUUCCUCUUGCCU